Schistosoma mansoni is the source of this 48-nucleotide non-coding RNA. The record is from Rfam. NCBI's taxonomy places the organism in Eukaryota, Metazoa, Platyhelminthes, Trematoda, Strigeidida, Schistosomatidae.
AUCCAGCUAACGAGUCUCGAAUAGGACGAAACACGCGUCAAACUGGAU